GAUGAACGCUGGCGGCGUGCCUAAUACAUGCCAGUCGAGCGAACAGAUGAGGAGCUUGCUCCUCUGACGUUAGCGGCGGACGGGUGAGUAACGCGUGGAUAACCUACCUAUAAGACUGGGAUAACUUCGGGAAACCGGAGCUAAUACCGGAUAAUAUAUUGAACCGCAUGGUUCAAUAGUGAAAGACGGUUUUGCUGUCACUUAUAGAUGGAUCCGCGCCGCAUUAGCUAGUUGGUAAGGUAACGGCUUACCAAGGCAACGAUGCGUAGCCGACCUGAGAGGGGGAUCGGCCACACUGGAACUGAGACACGGUCCAGACUCCUACGGGAGGCAGCAGUAGGGAAUCUUCCGCAAUGGGCGAAAGCCUGACGGAGCAACGCCGCGUGAGUGAUGAAGGUCUUCGGAUCGUAAAACUCUGUUAUUAGGGAAGAACAAAUGUGUAAGUAACUAUGCACGUCUUGACGGUACCUAAUCAGAAAGCCACGGCGAACUACGU
This 496-nucleotide ribosomal RNA is filed under the name uncultured bacterium. RNAcentral's name for it is "partial 16S ribosomal RNA". It matches the Rfam family "Bacterial small subunit ribosomal RNA", at positions 28 to 506 of the family's 1533-position model. The record is from RNAcentral.